This 1187-nucleotide long non-coding RNA is filed under the name Felis catus (domestic cat). Its description in RNAcentral is "lncRNA (ENSFCAG00000046485.2)". The record is from RNAcentral. Lineage: Eukaryota; Metazoa; Chordata; Mammalia; Carnivora; Felidae.
AUGGGAGGAAAUACUCUUAGCCAUGGUUAUCUUUGGGUGAUUUUUUCCCACUUACUCUUGUUACUUAUAUUUUGCUUCAGAAUUAGCUACAAUGGAAAUGAAAUAUAUAUAUAUAUAUAUAUAUAUAUAUAUAUAUAUAUAUAUAUAUAUAAUGGGCUUUUGAAAAAUCUGCAUCCUCUACUAAAGAAUGUUGCUGCCUAUCCCCUUAUUUUCUGCCGAGGGACACCGUUCAGAAGAAUUCUCUGUGAUGGGGAGAGAAAGGUCCACGGUAUCACUGAAGCAUUAAGAACAUGGAGACUCAAGACAGGAAGCCAAAGACCAAGGAACUUUGGGUCCUUGUUUUUCUCCCCCACAAGGAUACUGGAAUGUUAUUUUGCCAGACUUGGGAAUUUCCUGAAAGGAGUUAAAAAUAUCUCUCCUACCCAGAGCACCUUCGGAACGCAUCCUCUGAGAAAGCACGCUGCUGGAGUAGAACCACUAACCAGGCUCUCACCCCCAUCUUCUCUUCCACCCCCCGUCACUGCACCCCUUCGGAUUUGACAACUCUGUAGGAAACCAAUUUGCUGUUAAUCACAAGGGAGUUUUAUUUACUCUGUUGAAAGAAUUGAAAAGCAGUCAUUUUUAUUAGUGCCACAGCUGGUUCUUCCAUCAUGGAAGAAAUACAAUUAUGCGUCUUCCUAUGGCUGAAUGCAGACGGCUACAACCUCAUUAUUCAUUCUGGUAGGAAGCAGGCCUUUAUAAUGAGCAGGGGAAAAAAUGCACUGACCCCUCAUUUAUAAAAGGAACAAAUCUCAGUUUCUGGAAUGACAUCGCCACUGCCACCAUAGAAAGAAAGGCUUUUUAUUUUUUUGGUUACAUAAUAGGGAGCGAUAGCUUUAGAGGCCCGGCUGAGGCAGUCAUUAUGGCAGAGUGGAAAGAGUGUAGACUUUGGCCUUGGGCCAGCCUGGGUUCAAACCUCAGAUCUGCUUCUUAUCAGCUCCGGAUAGAGGGCGUGUUAAUUCUUCCGAGCGUCCAUUUUCUUAUCUGUAAAUUGGAAAUACGGGUAUCCCCUGCUUUCCCAAAGUUCGUGUUGUGCCACUUGGCUUUCGUGAAAGACCUUACAUGAGUACUCGUUUUUGCUAACCGAAAGAAACCGGAAGGGGAGUUUGUCGCUUCUGGGAAUAAAAGCAAAAAAGCAAAAAAAAGCA